UUAUUAUUUGCGAUGCAUCUCCUUGAAUGUAUCAUAUAAUACCUCUGAGGAACCCUAAAAAAUUUCAGCCAAAACAAAUUUGCCGAGGCAUAGGAGAAUACAUUGGAGAAAAUGGUGAAAGUGUCCACCUACUUUGCAAUGUCACUUGGAGCCUUCUUAUUCUGGGAAUCCAUGGAUAAGCUUCACGUUUGGAUCGCUCUACAUCAAGACGAAAAGAGAGAGAGACAGGAGAAGGAAGCCGAGAUCAAGAGAGUCCGGGAGGAGCUAUUGAAACAAGCCAAACAUAGGGACUCUCUCCUGUGAUCGCGUUGUGUUUUGAUGCGGGUGGUUUUUUCUCUAAAUUUCUCUCGUUGUUAUUUUUACCUGAAUUGUCUAGUGCCGUAUGGAUAAAAAAGCAUAACAAUCAACUUAUCUGUUUCAAGCUGAUUACCUGCUUUAUGAACCAGCGCAAUUGUAUCUGCCUGCAUCUGUUGGAAUGUUUAGUGAAGUUGGUUUUAAUAAGACUGUUACAUCUUCUAUGAGUUUAUUUGAUGUAAUAGGAGCAGUAAUUGAAAUUAAGAGAAACUGCACGUUUUGCUUGAA
Long non-coding RNA from Carya illinoinensis, 582 nucleotides. RefSeq lists it as uncharacterized. Lineage: Eukaryota; Viridiplantae; Streptophyta; Magnoliopsida; Fagales; Juglandaceae. The transcript is spliced from 2 exons. The record is from RefSeq and is a predicted model, not a curated record.